CUAGAAGAUUGGGAAGAAGACAUUGCCGCAAAAAUAUGUAUAAUAGUAAUAUUGUACAAGAAGGAAAAAAAAUUUACCGAUUUUUUGAAGUACUGCUCGAUUUCUUUACGACUUCUGAAACCCUCGAUUUUUUAUCACAAAUUAAUCCUAACAUCUCCAAAUCAACAAUCAAUGUCAUCUAAUGGACAUCCAAGUAUCAAACAACCGCCAAAUCGAGGAUUUCGAUGAUAAAAAAUUCCGCCUAAAUAUUUUUUUUCUCGAUUUGAUGCAAAAAAAAGCCACAAAAGUGACGGAAAAUCUUCGUUUAGGGCCCCCUAAUACCCCCCCUUCCAAACAGUUUCCUUAACAUUUGGAUGGUCAAAAAGACCAUUUUGCCCCUCUCUAAGGGGAUUUCUAUAUUGGCUUUCUGCCUGAUCUACGAGGUGUCUGGGUUGUUCCAUCUUUGUAACAGUGACUCUCUGGUGUUGGACAAGGUGUGCCAACACACAUGGAAUGGGGAUGGCUGGACUGGGUUAUUAAUUGAGAACUAGUUGCAAAGUGAAAGAUGGUUUGAUCUGUGCGUCUUGCCCUGACCUAUGUGAAUUGCAGUUGUCUGAGUUACUCAGUGUUAGUUUGAUCUAUAUUUUUCUUUAGUCACCUUUUGGUUUGAGAUGGAAUGAGGAUAAGUCAACUGAGAAAUGCAUUUAUUGGUUUUUCAGAGAUCGGAGGUGGAAGAGAAGCGAUUUGGUGAUCGUGUUCAUUCACAUUUACUUUUUUUAUUGGUGUUUCCUUUCAUUCAUGAUUUUCUUUAGCUGAUUUGCCUGUAGGAGCCAUUGUAUAUUGGUACAUCACUAGAUAGGAUGCUAUUAUGUUGCUCUUAUUACGGUCUUGACAAUAUGUUGUGUUUGGUUCUUCGUUGUCAGGUCUUUUCCUCUUUAUUCUAUGUUUUAUUAGUUGCCUUGAGAUUUGUGUUUGUAUAGCUGGAUUGUCAUCUUUGGCUUCAACACAUUCUCUUUUCUUUCUCCUCUCUUUUUUCUCUAUGACUGGAACAUGAGGACAGUAUUAGGUGCUGCAAUUGCCAGAAAGCCCCCAUUUGUUAUUUUUAUGGUUUUUUGAUUUUAAUUGGGGCGUAUUUUUGAUAGGGAAACUGAUUGUGUGUGUAAUGUAGAGGCCCCCAAUUUUUUUCCAACAAUUUUUUCUCAGUAGAUCAAAUUAUUGUGUAUUUUGGUGGUCAUUAUUUUUAAGGAUCUUUCUUUUUGGUUUGGCUUUCUCUUCUUCUUGUAUAUUGAGGUUUCUCCCAUUGAUCAAGCUAGUUCGUUCUGGUCCUCUGUGGCCCAAGUGGGAGUGGGUGCAAGCUCAAUAUCUGAUUUGCCUCGCAUUGAUUCAAUAGGAUAUGUAUUGCAUUAGACAAUCUUAGAGAUUUUUUUGGGUUAGACAACAGGACCAAAAGAUGCAUUCUUGUGAGAGAAACUACUAGUACGAGAUUUUCUUGGGUAUUCUGAUUUCUUUAGGUUUAUUGGUCUGACUCAGAUUUGUAAUGCUCUAUUUUUUUGCUUCAAUUUCUUCCAUUCUUGUGCGUAUAUUCAUGCGCUCUUUAAUUUUUUUUGUCAUUUUGGGUAGCAUUUGUGGUUUAUAGGAUGAUGGUUGUGUUAUUAUUUCAGUGUGCUUAAGUAGUGGCUUCAAAGGUCUAUGCUAAUUUAAUCUUUGUAAGAUAAUCAUCUAUCUGUGAGAUGGCCCUUGUCGCGUUAUGCUAGGACCUUCUUUUAUGAUUUAAUUGAGUCUGCCAAUACUCCAGUUUUCUCCCUCCGAUUCUUCUCUGGUAUUGAUUCUUGGUGAUUGCUUGCAGUUUAACUGGUUUUGGUGGAUUUCGUUGAUACUUUCUGACUCUCCUCUAGGUGUGAUGUUGUUUUGUGAAGUUGUUAAAGAGGGGUUCUUUUGUUUGAGUGUUAUGUCGAGCCAUCAUUGGAUUAGUUGAGGUACUCAUCCUCUAUGAAUGAAGAGCAACAUGUUGAAGUGUUAUGUCAAGCCAUGGAUUCCCAGAUGGUUUGUGGUGUUUUGGGAAAAUAAUUACUUCAUCUUGAUGCCAUUUUUCUAUUCUGUGGUAUAAUCGUAUGAUCACUAUCUGCAAUUUUUGGGAUGCUUAAUUAUUGGGAGUCCUCUUCGAUGAUUUCAUGAGGGGAGGAACUUUGCUGGAUGUUUCUGGGGCUCCUGGCAUAAGUUGUUCCUGCAUUUGAUAUCUACCUGGAUUUGAAUCUGGUUUGCUUUAUGGACUCAUUUGGUUUGGAUAUCUGUCAUAAGAUUAUAAUUGGUUGUAUUUUUUUUGGAGGCUUGCAUUCGCCUAACUUGCUUUCAGGGUAUUGGCUUGUUGAAAGUGUUGUGCUAUUAGGUGCCUUGUGAUGCUAUUAUUGGAGGCAAUAGUGAAGGCGUACGUGUGGCUUGUUGCUGCUGGAUUCUCCAUUGUUGAGCACACUGGGGAGGGAGAGUUGCUGGCAAGAUGCAAUGUUCGAUUUGAUGUACAUCUGACCUGAAUCCCGUUAAUGUUAAUCUGUGGGAAGACAUUGUGUUCAACAGUUGUGCUCGAUUUCAUUGGUGCCAUCUCAGGAAAAUGCUGGUGUUGGUGGUUUUUUUUUAAUUUUUUUGGGGGUAUGUUGGUGUCGGUGUAGACGUUAGAUAAGCCAUUGUGGGACAUCCCAAAUUUACUUCUAUAGGAUUUCAAUGUCGUGCGUCUGUGUGGCUUUAUGUAUGUUUCUUUGUCGUAUUGGAAGUUCUUAUUUUUUAUUAUUGAACAUGUAAAUAUUUGAUGGUGAGGUAAUGGUAUGCAUCUGCGUGCAUAAAAAAUUUAAAUUUGA
Non-coding RNA from Amborella trichopoda, 2828 nucleotides. NCBI's taxonomy places the organism in Eukaryota, Viridiplantae, Streptophyta, Magnoliopsida, Amborellales, Amborellaceae. The record is from RefSeq and is a predicted model, not a curated record.